Papaver somniferum (opium poppy) is the source of this 327-nucleotide long non-coding RNA. RefSeq lists it as uncharacterized. The transcript has 3 exons. NCBI's taxonomy places the organism in Eukaryota, Viridiplantae, Streptophyta, Magnoliopsida, Ranunculales, Papaveraceae. The record is from RefSeq and is a predicted model, not a curated record.
AGGUGCAUGACGAUCCCCAAAGUGCACCUGUUGAUGGUCCAACGCAGUGGCCAUUACGUAACUUGGAUGAGCUAUUACAAGAACUGGUGGCGAUUGCUAGAGUUAGCAAAGGAAAACAACAAUUCAAAAUAGAUCUCACACCAUUUCGUGAAGAUUAGUCUUCAAUUCACGGGAAAAGGUAAAGCAAGAAAAGCGAUGCAGCCACCAUUUAGUGAUAAUGUUUUUCCGCAGUUUAAACUUAUCUAUGCAUCAACAGAAGGAAAUAUUGAUAACUGUAAUUUCUGUCUAUCAUAGCAGUUUCGACCCCAUAUAAGUAAUUCAUUUACA